RNAcentral lists this ribosomal RNA (654 nucleotides) under Triticum aestivum (bread wheat). RNAcentral's name for it is "partial small subunit ribosomal RNA". Lineage: Eukaryota; Viridiplantae; Streptophyta; Magnoliopsida; Poales; Poaceae. The record is from RNAcentral.
AUGGUGUUGCUUGACAUUAGGGGUAUGUUACAGUCUAUGGGUAAAGACAUUAUUGAUUUCACUCUUCCAACGAUCGAUGAUGCGUUUGACCCAACCGAGGGCGAGGCCAGAGAGAUCAUCGAGGAAUCAACCGUUGAUUUUGACGAAAGUGACACUAAAUUGUCAUCUUCCCUGAAUUUGGAGCAAAGGGCUGCAUAGGACAAGAUACUAGCGGUUGUUGAACGCGGUGAUGGGGGUAUAUUCUUUGUUGAUGGCCCUGGAGGUACGGGGAAGACCUUCCUCUACAGGGAGAUGCUCGCCAAGGUGAGGGGCGAGGGCAAGAUUGCUAUCGCUACCGCGACGUCGGGCGUCGCUGCUUCUAUCAUGCCUGGCGGCAGGACUGCCCACUCGAGGUUCAAAAUCCCACUGAGUUGCGAUGAUGGAGCCUCGUGCAGCUUCACCAAGCAGAGUGGGACCGCCAAGCUGCUAAGGAUGGCCUCAUUGAUACUAUGGGACGAGGCUAGCAUGACUAAGCGACAAGCGGUUGAGGCAUUAGACAAUAGCAUGCGCGACAUCAUGGGAAUACGCGACCGACCCUUUGGAGGAAAGACUGUUGUUUUUGGCGGGGACUUUAGGCAGGUGCUUCCGGUCGUCAGAAGGGGGUCACGGGGAUAG